This 18132-nucleotide long non-coding RNA is filed under the name Ananas comosus (pineapple). Its description in RNAcentral is "long non-coding RNA (ACOM_LNC014278)". Lineage: Eukaryota; Viridiplantae; Streptophyta; Magnoliopsida; Poales; Bromeliaceae. The record is from RNAcentral.
UUCAACUCGACUCAGCUACCGUUGGUUUAUCCGGGGGUGCUACAGACGCAAAAGACCUUGAAUUGCAAGAAGGGCUCCAUGGACACUUUCGAUGUUAAAGGGAAGAUCGUGUUGUGCGGGGUUGGACAAAUUUCAAGCACCGAAAAGGGUGAGGUCGUUAAGGCAGCAGGCGGUGCUGCGAUGAUAGUAAUGAACCGGCCAUGGAACGGGAGCACAACGCCCGCCAAACCCCACAUCAUCCCAGCGGCCCACGUGAGCUUCACCGAUGCGUGGAAGAUCGUCACGUACUUCAAUUCCACGCCCAACGGAACGGCAGCAAUCAUCUUCAACGGCACACGAGUUGGCGUUCGACCAGCACCCUCGGUGGCUUCCUUCUCGUCGCGAGGCCCCAGCCUCAUGAACGGCAACAUCAUCAAGCCGGAUGUCAUCGCACCGGGCGUCAAUGUUCUAGCUGCUUGGCCAUUCGAGGUAGGACCUAAACCCAACCACCACCUUCGAGCCUCAUCUCACACCUUCAACUUUAAUUCGGGAACGUCGAUGGCGACCCCUCACGUGGCUGGCAUUGUGGCGAUGUUAAGGAAUAACCAUCCUGAUUGGUCUCCCGCAGCCAUUAAGUCAGCGAUCAUGACCACAGCUUACACAGUCGACGCCGAUAGGAAUCCUAUCGGCGACGAUUUCAACUCCACGGGGACACCAGCUAGUGCAUACGCCAUGGGCUCGGGCCAUGUCGACCCAUCAGCAGCCAACGAUCCGGGCCUCAUCUAUGACCUUCAUCACUAUGAUUAUAUCCAUUACCUCUGUGGCAUGGGCUUCACCGACAAACAAGUCGGAGCCAUCGGUGGCGGUUCGGUGCAGUGUUCUAAGGUCCGGGCAAUCAGCCCCGAACAGCUGAACUAUCCUUCUAUUGCGGUGUACCUAAGUGCUAAUACGACCGAGGUGACUGUCAACCGAACGGUGACGAAUGUCGGGGACGCCGUUACAACCUACAACGUGAAGUACGACGAACCGGAAGGAGUGAGAGUCGACGUUGCGCCUGAUAGGCUGCAAUUCUCCCGAUCCAGGCAGAUGAAGGAUUUUCGAGUCACGUUGAGCAUCAAGCCGGGGAGACCAACAGUUAGGAUGGCAGGGCAAGUUGUCGAGGGGCAAAUGGCGUGGUCCUCCGGAAAGUACUACGUAAGGAGUCCUAUUGCCGUCACAAUCCAGUGAAACACGAUCGUAGUUUUAAGUCCCAUGUGCAAAGCAACAUACUAGUUCUUCCCCAGGCGUAAAAGAAAGAAAAAAGAAAAAAAAAUAAUAUAAAAUAAAUAAAAACAUGUCGCCCACCAAAAAACUCUACUCCGUGGAAACUAAGAUUCUUCUUCUUUUUCUUGUUUCUUUUUCUUUUUCUUUUUUUAAUGGCACUGUGGUGAGAACAAAUCCACCUAAUUAGGCUGUUCGUGUUUUUGAACUUUGGAUCGGGAGAAAGCAAAAUAAAAAAAAUUAUUGGUAGAUCAGAUCAUAUCUGUUUUCUAUCUCAUCUCAACUUAAUGCAAUUCCUACCAUUCGUUGAAUAACUUGGCUAGAUGCAAUGGGACUAGGCCUAGUUUUAGACUUUUGAGUGGAUGCCCACUCCGAGAAGCCCACUACAAUCCAUUGGUCGUGAGUCAAUGGCUCAAUCGAGUAAAAUUAUUGCCUUUAGUAACCGUACUAGUUAUUAAAAAGGUAAACCAAGUUUAGGCCCAAAAGAGUUGUGAAAACAAAAGAUUGUCAAAUUACACCCAUAUUCUGCCAACCUCGACUAGGGAUGGAAACGAGCCGAGCUCGAGCGAGCUUAUGUCAGCUCAAAUUUAGCUUGAAAUUAGUUUCGAGCCUAAAUCUAGGCUCAAGCUCGGCUUGAAAUUAAUUCGAGCCGAGCUCGAGUGAGCCUAAUUUCGAGUCGAGCCGAGCUCGAGCUCUAAACGAGCCGAUUGAAAUUCUCGACAUUAUAUAAUCAAUAGUUUAAUUUUUAUAGAACAUUACCUAUAAUUUGAUGCAACAUAUUCAAUAGUUCAAAAUACAAAAUAAUUAUAAGAAAUGUGAGCUAGGGUGACUGUCUGACUGGAUGAGGGUUAGAGAGAGAGAGAGAGAGAGAGAUGGGAAAAAAUUAGGGAUUUGAAAAUUUGAAUGUUAUCAUGUUUUUUCGAGUUUGUUGCCAAAGCUGCGUCUGAAGAGUAGUGUGUUAUGUUUAGGUUGGGCCGCUAUUGUGGUUGUACUUGUUGGGUUUUUAUGGGCCAACAAUAAUAGCCCAAUAAAUUAAGAGUCUAUAUAUAAUUAAUUAAAAUUAUUAAUAUAAUAUAAUAUAUAUAUAAUAUAUACUUAUAAUAAUAUUUAUAUAUUAUAUAUAUAUAUUAAUAUAUAUAUUACGAGCUUCGAGCUUUUCGAGCCUAUAUUCGAUACGAUCGAGGAAUACUAACAAGCGUCGACUUGAAAUGAAUUCGAGAUUUUUAUUUUGUUCAGUCGGUAUUGAUUCGGUCCAGCGCGAGCGAUGUCGAAUUUUAUCGAGCGACACGAGGCGAAGCGAGCGGUCGUCUUUGCGCCUAACUCGACAGUUAAUUAAACAUUUUUCAAGUAGCAUAUACUAAACCAGUAAAUACAAUUAUAAAUUAAAUUAUUAAUUAAAAGUAAAAAUGUCUGAAGACCCCCUCAAACUAUAAGCAAUCUUAAAACAAGCCCCAUCAACUUUGCCUUUUUUUUUUUUUUUAUUUACACCUCCUUACUGUCGAUUAUUUAAAAUUAAGUGAUUUUUCCGAAAUAAAUUAGAGGCUUUAUCAAGUUCAUCUAUGGUCUCAUCAAUUUAAUAAUUAUAAUUAUUUUUUAGCAAAUACAAUUAGGAUGAUCAAUGGCUAAUUUCUAAAUGAGCUAUUAUUUUUUUUAAAAAAAAAUUAGCUAAAUUAAUUAGAACAACUUUAAAAAAUUAGAAAUUACUGAGGUGUCCAUUCCCAAAAGGUUAAGGAGCCUAUUUUAUAGUUGAGGGAGGCCUACACACAAUUAUAUCUUAAUUAAUUAACAACUAUGAACUAUCCUGAUCGGACUCCAUGUCGGGGGAGGAGGAGAAGGAGAAGGAGAAGGAGAAGGAGAGUGUGUUGGUGAUCUCAAUCUCGUCCUCGUCUUCGUCCUCCUCCCACGGCGAAGAAGAAGAAGAAGAAGAAGAAGAGGAGGAGGUGGAGGUGAGGUCGUCGGGGGAGAAGAGGGAUAACGACGAGUGUUGCAUACUCCCCUCCGAUCCCUUCGCCGACGAUCUCAUCCUCAACAUCUCGCUUUGCCAACGCAACGACGACGGCGAUGAUCUCGCCAUUCUCUUCGUACGAGGCCAAGUAAUCGAUUCUCUUUACUUCCCCUUUCGCUCCUUGGUUCCUACUUUGCACUAUUGAUUCGUGUUAAAUAAUUUUUCCUUAAUGGAAAGAUCAUAUGAUUGCUAUUUUAGGAAGCCCUAGUUUACAACGAGGAAUUAAGUUCUAACCUUAGUAUCUAAGUUUUAAAGAACGGUAAAAGGGGUACUUUUCCUUUCCGCAAACCAGGAUCUGGGGGUUUUACCAGUGUAUGAAAUUGCCAGAUGUUGUAAUUUCUUUCCCCUUCCUUUUUGUGGUUUUGUCUCUGCAGGUUUAUUGCGACGUGGUGAAACUAAAUUGGUAGUAAAAGAACUUGUAAUUUACUAUUGAUUAACCCUGGCGACACGCCGACACCAAUAAUUGAAAAUAGAAUGCCAUCUCAUUUUCGCGUUUGUGUACAAUAAGUUUUCUGUCAAGAAUACCACAAAAACAACUAUAACAUUGUGAGAAUUUCUUUUGUAGGAAUCAUUUAUAUGGAAUUAAACUGUUGGAGUUCAUCGACAUGUAACAUUCUUUUUUCUAAAAAAAAGUUUCCUGAAGUUGAUCGUAAGAAUUUCUAAUUUCUACCAAAUGCAGGUGGCUUGUAGAGAUCUUCCCCAUCAAAGAAAUCUCUGUGCAGAAUAUCCCUUUAGCAAGACACCUCAUGAGAGCUAUUGUCCGAAGGUAGCCUGAUCCAUCUCUUAUAUUCAGCUGAGGUGGUGCAAAUAUAUUUUAAUCUAAUUUUGAUUAACAAGUUUGAAUUUGGAUAUAAUGGUUUUUGUUUUCCUAUUACAUUGUUUAUUGGUAGUAGAUUCCCCAGUAGGGUUAUAUAAAGGAAGUUGAUGCCAUUGUCAAUGCCAAAAAUUUUAAGUUAGAAUGUGUUAAUAAGAUUACUUUUAAUAAUAUUAGAUAUCUUACUGUGCUCAUGUUGGAAUAUGUCACAACUGAUUAGAAGUAAUGCUUCUUUUCAUCUUCAUGAAUUCAUGAUUAUUUUCACAACUACUACUUUAUAAUUUAGACAUAUGCUCGAUGUUACAUGUUGUGUUAUCAAUUGGUGUGCGACAAGUAAGAGCAAUUUCUAUGGUGUUUCAACUGUAAGAUGUUUAGAGAUAAUCGCGUGGAUCUUUUUUCUAGCUUAGUUAUAAAGAUAAUGGUAGAUUAAGCAAGUAAUCUUGGUAAUUAUUUGAAUGUAGGGAGGCCAUUGCAGUGUCUGUUUAUGACUCCUGCUCUUCUUUAAGGUUGCCACCUUUUCAAACUUGAAAUCUAUCUUAAGUUUCUUGUAAGUUGGCAACCUUAAUAUGUUGAUGACAUCUUUUGCUUCUUUGGGCUGGACAAAAACCUUGUAAUUUCUGCUUGUUCAAUUAAACAAAAAGGGCCAAAGAACAAUCUACAAGCUUGACAUAAUGUCGAGAAAAAUAAAAUAGAAUUGUGCUAGAAUAUUUGAUCUUAUUCACAGGGAUUCUUAAAAAUAUCAUACUAAAUAAAAUGAUUAAAAUAUGUUACAACUAUCACACUAUCUGUUUGCCUUUCUCAUACAUAAAGGCGUAUUGAGUUCUUAUUUGAUUUUAUAGAAACUCGUGACUUCUCAAUGAUGUUAUGUAGUAUUCUCUCAUUUAGUAAUCAAUUGCUGCAGUGUUUCUGCUAUGUCUGCGAGAAAAUAGCUCCCUGUGAGGCUUGGAAGGGACCUCUAGGACACUGUCAUGCAUCUGACCAAGAAAAGAAAUGGAAGGAUAUGAGGAAAGCUAGGCAAUCAGCUCAAGCACAGGAAAUUAAGCCUUGCUCUGAAGUGUAAGAUCCCCUGAGCACCUCAUCUAUAUUUGCACCUCAUUGAAAUGGGGAUGUUGGCUUUGGAGUAAAACCAUUAAGCAUCACUUCUGGUUAAUGGCAUUUUGGGCUCUUUAGGGGCUAAGCUUGGUGCUAGCUGCCUGCACAGUGCACCUCUUAGAGAGAAUGUUCAUUUUUUGAGCAAAUAAUUUAUACUCCACGUACAUGUUUAUGUUUUUGUUUUGACUUUGCAAUUGUAAAGUUCCUGUAGAUUGUAAAUUAAGUUUUACCAUCUGGUUGAUGCCCGAGAAAUCUAUCUGAAGGACUUGAUAGGCUACAGGUGUCGUCUCCUCGCACAUUUUGGGUUUUCUUCUAGUUAUGUGGCUGAUGAGACACAGUUUACUAACAUCUAUAGAAGAGAAGAUAAAUUACUUUGAUGCAGUGAUCAAUGCUUUUUUGAGUGAAGUGCGCGAAGGGAAUAGUGUUGAAUUAACUAUUCCAAUGAUAAGUUAAUUACUAUUAAUAAGGUUGUUGCCUUUUCAUGACCACUUGAUUUUCCAAUGUAAGGUAAGAAGUGGCUAAACUUCACAUGGAAAUAUCACCUGCUGGGCCUUUUCUCAUGAGUUGGUAAUGCGAGUCUCUUCAUUUUUGUAGUAGCAUGUGAAAUUUGGCAUGCUUCUCUCUUAGCUGAAUGUGCAGUAUUCCAUCUCCAGAUCUACUCUCUUUUAUUUCUGAAGCACAACACUUCAACGCGAGGUAUGUGUGGCUCUUCUUUCUUUCUCUUUUACUCUUUCCAUCUGCAAAGGCAUUUCUUUGUCUACAGUAGAGUAGGAAAGCAAAAAAGGAAAAAAAAAAAAAAGUUUUUGCCUUAUUUCCUUUUUUCAUAUGCAUCAUUAUUGGCAUUAUUCCUCUUUGGUGCUUGCUUAACUUGUUUCUCAUUUCACCAUAGUAAAAGUAAAGCAUCUUGCAGAUUGAGGCACAAUGAAGGAGAAAUGGUAAAUAGCAUCUUCUAUUCUUUUUAGUAUUGAAUAAUUCAUAGUCAACUUCAUUUAUCUUCCUUCUAAGCUAUCUUGUAGACAUUUAGGAAAUUAUUUGUGUUUAGAUAUUUGAGAAAAAUGACUUUAACUGCCAUCUGAUGAAAAGUAAAUUCAGGUAUUAUAUGUAAAUGUUACGAAGGAUAGGUGUGAAGAUGAAAUUUGCUAGGUGGGUUUUUCAGUCGGGUCCAAUUUGCUUAGACCCAAAAUAUUUGUUUGGUUGUAACACUAUUUGGCUCAGCUAUCCCUUUAGGUUGAAGCCUUAGAGAGCUUUAGAACAGCAUAUGUAUUAACUUCAUCGCAUCCUGCAAGAUAAUAAGAUGACUUGUGUCUUUUACGUUGAAAGUUGAUUUAUAGUUUUUGACAAUAAGAUAGCCACUUAGGCCAAAGUCGGAAUAAGUUAUCCAAGGAUUGCUUAUUCAGUAUAAGGAUUUUCUAAAAUGAUUGUAAAAAAGAAGUUUGAUUUUUUGCUUCUUAAAAGAUUUUGAUAUUCACGAUCUGGCAGAAUAACAUAUUUUACUUGUAAGGUGAUAUAUUUUAUCUGAAAAAAUAGUUUGAAGGCCGAAUAAGUAUUCAAUUCGAGACAUUUGAUCAUACUCCUUAUUUACCAAAUGUACAAUCUUCUCAAGUAAAUCAUGAAAUUAUUCCUUUGAUGGAGAGCAUUGUGUUAAAAGUAAUAGCAGGGAAGAUGUUUUAGAUUUCUUUUCAUAUGAGACUGAGCAAGUGUUCUCAUGUAAAGAGAAAGAUGUGGUGGAUUCUGCAAUUCAACAAAAUGUGACAGCAAUGGGACUCCUAACAUGAUAUUUGCUACAGACCCGUGCCAUUUUCCAUUGUGAGACCUUUUUUAGGAUUCUACUCUGCUGACUCCUUGAUGCAUAAUGUGAUCUAUAAAGUUUUCUUUUGAUUAACUUGGAGAGCUGCAGCUUUUUAGGUUUAACUUCAAAGCUCACUCUUUUGGGUUCAUCAAUUUGCACCCUGUGAAGGUUUUUUUUGCAUCCUCUGCAUUCAUUGCCAUCUGAUUAAUUAUGAUUUUUGUGGAAUUUGCAUUAAGGUAUACUCGUACAAUCAUUAUUAUCUUAGAUCAAGAGAAAUGGCCUUAACUUCCGAAGUCUUACUUGUUAGAGGCUGAACCGAACUCUACUCCAAAUACAGUACCUACCCUUCAAUUCUUAGAUUCGGUUUCUUGGUUACACUUUUCUAUAAUGCCAAAAAUUUUCUGUUCUACCUUAUUUUAAACAAGCCAAGUCGAAGUAGAAUAUGAUUCAUAGUGUGGCAGAGAAAGAAAAAAUAGUAAGAGAUAGUGAUGACAUUAAGUGGUCCUAAAAUGAGUUCAUUUACCAGGAGUUACUAUGUUGUUAUGUGGUGCACUUGCUUGAUAAAUUGAUCACUUUAUGUAUCUAUGCUUUGUUGCGAGCCUGCUAAACAAAUUGAUCAAAUGUUAGAAAAUGCAGAGAAUCUUUUAAGAUACGGCUAUUAAACCAACUUAUUUACUUAAAAAUUUAUUUAAAAAUUCGGUCUUUUUGAAGCUUCUAUAGAACUGUUAUUUGUAUAGUGUUAUAGAACUGUUGUUUGUAUAGAGUUUGAAUAGUUUCUAAUAGGUAUCUACUGAAGCAUCCUCUCCUCCGUCUUGUCAUGUGAUGUAGCUGUAGAACUGUUUCUUGACUAUUGUAAGUUGACGGUGGAAAUAUACUUAAAUAAUAUUUAUUUAAGAGAAGGCCAUUUUAAGAAAGAAAAAGUUAACUUUAAUCAUUUAACUAAUGGAGAGGGUGUAUUUCCAAACUAUGCACUAUGGAGAAACAUGUUUCAUGACUAAAAUUUUGUAGCAGUAAUGCACUUUACAGUGAUACUAUGCAUUAAAAAAAGUUUGAAAAAAGAAUAUCAUGCAUAUAGGUGAUUGUAAUUAGUAUAACUGGGGAGAUUUUCCAGAUUUUCCUGUGCGUAUAGGCAAGUGCACGGGAACUUUGGCGUUAGCACGUCUUCUAUAAAAGGGUGAAUAAGCUGGUGCAUCUAUUAUUGCGUUCAACCAAAAGCCCGUAUUGCUAUUGUUAUUGUAUUGCAGGUAUAAAUGUAUGUAGUUCAAAAGCACUCGACUUGGAACUAGGAAGAAGAAAACACUUCUGGGUCUUUGGAUUCACCUAGCACGAUUAGAGAGAGAAAGAGUUCACUUAUUGCAUUUUAUAAUUGAUAAAAGUGCGCCGCAUGGCAUCCUUACUACGGAUCGUUAUUUUUUUGAGAGAAAGGUAGCACGCUAGUUACUUCAUUCAUUAGAUAAAUAAAUUUAACUAUAUAGAGUGAGACUGCUAAGACCUUGAAAAAGACAAAAGUAAAAACAAAACGUCAAAUCGAAGGGUAUAGCAAACACUGAUGUCACUCGGUUCUAUAAAAAUCUGUCCACUUUUUUGCCAACACUCCAAAUACUACGGAUCAUUAUUAGAUAUCUAAAAUGUAACCUGUUUGCUAUAAUUAAUCAAAUUAUAUCUUGCAAAGAUUUGUCCAUAGUUAAUUUGUCCACUAUUUGGUCUUUGUUACAUCUUGAUGCCCUCGGAAAGAAUAAUGAUGCAGAUGAUUAUUUUUCCUAUUUAAGGUCCACUUGCCUCUCCUCUUUGCAAGCACAUUCUAUUGCCUUGCUAGUUGCUACCAUGGAUAUUGUACAUUCAGUCUUCUACUUGCUUAUUUCUUUUUCCUUCUUCCUAUCCAAUCCAACUCUUCUCUUGGUUCACUGCCAAAUACAGCCCAUUUCUAAUGACACCCAAAUGCAGGUCUAUAUUGUUCAUGUACAAAAGCCUGACAGCACGAGCUUCCGUCGGUUCAAGGAUCGGAAAGAGUGGUACGCGUCCUUCUUGCCCAACACCACCCUCGACUCCGGCAAGCCGCGCAUGAUCUAUGCAUACCGCCGCGCGAUCAGAGGCUUCGCGGCGUGGCUCACCGCUCAGGAAGCAGAAGCCAUGAAAUCCAUGGAUGGCGUUCUCGUAGCCUACUCCGACUUCGAGUAUGAUGCUCAAACCACCUACACCCCGCAGUUCCUAGGACUAAACGCAUGGGAGGACGGCAUUUGGUAUGACUCUCAAUACGGAGCGGGGCAAAUUAUUGGGGUCAUCGACACCGGAUUUAAGCCUGGUCAUCCUUCCUUCAGGGAUACCGAUGUAAAUCCGCCGCCUGGGACGUGGAACGGAAGCUGCUACUGGAAACAAUCCGUGUGCAACAAUAAGCUCAUCGGUGCAGUGGGAUACAGGUUUGGGCACACCGUCUCACCUGAGGACAAUAACGGUCAUGGAACCCACACUGCGAGCACAGCUGCGGGGAAUUUUGUGGAUGAUGCCCACGUACUUGGCAUGGCACGCGGCACGGCCUCAGGGACGGCACCUAAAGCUCAUCUAGCAAUCUAUAAGGUGUUACACAACACCAAAACUGCUACUGGUACAGUGGCCAAAGCGUUUGCUAGCGACACUUUGAGGGGUAUCGAUGAAGCGAUACGCAAUCACGUGAACGUGCUAUCCAUGUCCCUCGGGACGGUGACGCAUCAGCUGCAUGCGAAUCCUAUUGCCAUAGCAUCAUACGCAGCAAUCACCGAAGGGAUUGUCCCUGUGGCCUGUGCUAUGAACGAAGGGCCCUAUAAAAGCAUCAUAGCGAACGAUGCGCCGUGGAUACUUACCGUUGGAGCAAGCACUACGGACAGGAGGAUAAGGGCCAUUGUCAAGCUCGGAAAUGGUAUGGAGUUCUUCGGCGAAACAGCAUACCAGCCAGAGGGAUUCAAUUCGACUCAGCUACCGUUGGUUUAUCCGGGGGUGCUACAGACGCAAAAGACCUUGAAUUGCAAGAAGGGCUCCAUGGACACUUUCGAUGUUAAAGGGAAGAUCGUGUUGUGCGGGGUUGGACAUAUUUCAAACAUCGAAAAGGGUGAGGUCGUUAAGGCAGCGGGCGGUGCCGCGAUGAUACUAAUGAACCAGCCGUGGAAUGGGAACACGACGUACGCCGAACCCCACGUCAUCCCGACGGCCCACGUGAGCUUCAGCGAUGCGUGGAAGAUCCUCACGUACUUCAACUCCAUGCCCGAUGUAACGGCAGCAAUCAUCUUCAACGGCACACAAUACGGCGCUCGACCAUCACCCUCAGUGGCUUUCUUCUCGUCGCGCGGCCCUAGCCUCAUGAAUGGCAACAUCAUCAAGCCGGACGUCAUUGCACCGGGCGUCAACGUUCUAGCCGCUUGGCCAUUCGAGGUAGGGCCUAAACCUGACCAGCACCUUCAGCCCACAACUCACACAUUCAACUUCGAUUCGGGAACGUCGAUGGCGACCCCUCACGUGGCCGGCAUUGUGGCAAUGUUAAAGAAUAACCAUCCUGAUUGGUCUCCUGCUGCCAUUAAGUCGGCGAUCAUGACUACCGCUUACAUGGUCGACGCCGAUGGGAAUCCUAUCGGCGAUGAUUCCAAGCCCGCGGGGACCCCAGCAAGUGCAUAUGCCAUGGGCUCGGGCCACGUCGACCCGUUGGCGGCCAACGACCCGGGCCUCGUCUAUGACCUUCAUUACUAUGAUUAUAUCCAUUACCUCUGCGGCAUGGGCUUCACUGACGCACAAGUCGGAGCCAUCGGUCGCGGUUCGGUGCAGUGUUCUAAGGUCCGGGCGAUCAGCCCGGAACAGCUGAACUAUCCUUCUAUGGCGGUGUACCUAAGUGCUAGUACGACCCAGGUGACGGUCGACCGAACGGUGACGAAUGUCGGGGACGCCGUUUCGACCUACGAGGUGAAGUACGACGAACCGGAAGGAGUGAGAGUUGAAGUUACGCCUGAUACGCUGCAAUUCUCCCGAGCCGGGCAGAUGAAGGAUUUUCAAGUGACAUUAAGCGUCGAGCCCGGGAGCCCAACAGUUAGGAUGGCGGGGCAAGUUUUUGAGGGGCAAAUGGCGUGGGUCUCCGGAAAGUACUACGUAAGGAGUCCUAUUGCCGUCACAAUCCAGUGAAACACGGUAUUAGUUCUCGAGUCCCAUGUGCAAAACAACGUACUAGUUCUUUCCCCGGCGUGUAAAAAAGAAAACAUAAUAUAAAAUAAAUAAAAAACAUGUUUGUCUACCAAAAGGCUCUACUUCGUGGAAACUAAGAUUCUUCUUCUUUUUUCUUGUUUGUUUUUGUUUUUUUCUUUUUUUUUUCUUUUUUUAUUAUUAUUAUUAUGGUGUCUGAUCAGAUGAAGCAAUCGGACUGAGCCCAGUUUGAGUGGAGUGUGCACUCCGAGAAACCAACUACAAUCCAUUCCUCGUGGGUCAACAGAGCAAAAUUAUUGCCUAAAAAUAGCCGUACAAGUAAAUAAAAGGUCAAAAAAGUAUGGGAACAAAAGUAGUGAAAACCAAAGAUUCUCGAAUUACGCCCAUAUUCUACCAAGCGCGACAAAAGUUAAACAUUUUUCAAGUAUCCUAUACAAAACCAGCAAAUACAACUAGAAAUUAACUAUUUAAUCCAAAAUAAAAAAAAUGUUUGAAGACCAACACCCCCCCGCUCCUCAACUAUAAGCAAUCUUAAAACAGGCCCCUUCAACUUGGCCUUUAUAUUUUUAUUUGCACCUCCCCACUGCCGAUUAUUUGAAAUUGAGUGAUUUUUCGGAAAUAAAUUAGAGGCUCUAUCAAGUUCAUCUAUGGUCUCAUCAAUUUAAUAAUUUUAAUUAUUUUUUAACAAAUAAAAUUAGGACAAUUAACGACUAUUAUCUAAAUGAGCUAUUAAUUGUUUUUUCCGUAAAAAAUAGCUAUAUUAAUUAGAACAACUUAAAAAAAAAAAAUUAGUGAGGUGUCCAUUCCAAAAAAGUCGAGGAGCCUAUUUUAUACUUGAGGGGGCUGCAAACAAUUAUAUAUCUUACUUAAUUAACAACUAUCCUGAUCGGACUCCAAAUAAAUUAAAAAGAAAUAAGGAAAUGAUUGCAUCCAAAACCAUGCCCAAAAAACAAAAAAAAAAAAGGAAAUUGAAAAGUUCUCCCUGCUUGGUCAAGGAGAGAACCUAACCAGCUUCAGUGGCAAUCCCACUGCUCGUUCAGUCACUUCUAUAAACCGGCUCUUUGUUUUCAGCAAUAAAUAAAACACCACUUCAAGAACAUUUAUACGCUUAACCUUUCCAACUACCCUAAUAUAUAUAUAUAUAUAUAUAUAUAUAUAUAUAUAUAUAUAUAUACACGNCGUCUUAUUUGUUCACUAGUGUGGUUUGUAUUAUGUGAAAAUUUUGUCACAGAGGUAAUGAAAUAGAAAGGUACGAUAGCCUUGUAUGAUACAAUAUUGGAUACCCCAACUCCCCGGAGGGGGGGAAGUUGAAGAGAGAUUAAAGUUAGGGUAAGGGGCAAUUUGUUCUCUAUUAUUGGCUGCACUUCAGGACAGUGUUCUCUAUUAUUGGCUCCACUUUGUGGUUAGAAACUUAAAUAUUUUAAGUUCCUGUAGCCUACUAUGCCUGGAAAUCAGGCUAACUAGGGGAGGCAAUCUAAACUUGCUGAUAUUUUUCAUGACAAUGAACCAUUCAUUGAUAUCAUGGUAAAUUUAGUAUUAUAAACCUUUGCCCUUUGGACGCAUCUAACAUAUCUAAUAAAGAAAACAUACAGAUCGUAAUGAACAUUGUAUGCUUGCAUUUGCUUAAUGAAGAAAAAGGGAAUUAAAAUACAAAGAUUUUGCAUAACCACAUAAAGUUGAAGGAAUAAAGCUCGACGUACCUUAGAAUAUGCUCCAAAAUAAACUGCUUGCUUGCUUGCGGAUAAUGCCAGUUAUCAUCCUCUCAUAAAUUGCACACAGGACAGCAUCUUCAGUACAUUUUGGUGUACUGAUAAAAAAAAUGCUCAAAAUAGAGGACUUAUGAAUACCCUGAAUUCAUCAUGAUUUUAGAUAUUGUAAAACAUUGCAAAGUAUGCUUCCGAAAGUUAAAUUAGAAUUGUACAUACUUGAUGCACGGAUACCCUUCAGAAGUCUUAGCAACAUCUGACAGUUGUUUAUGUCUGAUGCAGUGUUUUUGUUACGCCUGCGAAGUAGCUGCUCCCUGUAAGCAGUGGGAAGGAACAUAUGGGCAUUGCGAUGUAUCGAAAAAGUAAUAAAGGAGAAUUUAGAAGGCUUGGUAUGCACUUCCAGGAGAGAAUGGAAUUUAAGAAUGCUGAUCUGUAGACCCCCUUACUCUGUUCCAAGAGGAUUUGGGGGAUAUCUUAAGAAGGUAAAUGUUUUGGUAGUGUAUUGCUAAAGGCUUUUUUAUACCAGGGACUGAUAAAUACCAUCAUAAGUCGAUAAAGAAUCACAAUGGAAUUUAACUUCUUUCAAAUUAAUAAGACAUAAACACGGGCAUAUCGUAACUACGUCCAACCCCACGAAAACUAUCAUACUUGGGAUUCUCGCUAUUCGUAGAAUUCUAACUUUUCCAGCUACAAGUGGAAUUUCUCUAUGCUCUACCAUGCAUGCCCUGCGGCCUCGCAGGGAACUGUCUCAACACUAUUCCUUCAACCAAAGAUUACGAAGAGGAGGAAGGGAAAAAAAAAAGUCGAGAUGUUUAAAGUAACUUUUUAUCUAUUCCAGUUAAGCAAACUCUGGCUUUGGCCACUUUUAACAAGUGCAUAGUGCCGCAAACUAGGCAACAACCUUACCAGCUAAAAUAUUAUUCCUCAACAAAAGAAAACAGCAUAUCUAACACGACCAAAAUCAAACACAUCGAUUGGAUUACUACAAUUACAUUGUUCCCGAAUCCCGAAUAAUUUUAUAACAUCAACACAAGGACAGUAUUAGCACAUUCUGGUAGGGAAAUUCGCACCGACUUCGCUUACACAUUCAUUCAAAUGAUCAACUGCACAAAAAUUACAGCAACACAAACAUAUUACAAAACAGACUAGUUAACUUUGUGUAGGCAUUAAGUAACGGAGAUAAUCAAUCAAGCAUCAUCAUCAUAAGAGGCAUGGAAGUCCGUAGAACAACCUGGGGCGUCUGGAUCCUCGGCGCCGCAGCAGUCGUAGAACUUGGCCGCAUAAGGCGGAUCAUCCGGUCCAAGCUCGUAGUACCUUCGAUCAACAAGAAUAAAAGAAUCGGGAAGGAUCUAUUUAAUCCUUCGAUUUGAACAGGUUGGCUUAACUCUUCAGAUUAAUCUGAAGAAGAAGAUGAAGACGAAGAAGGAAAAAGAGAGAGAGAGAGAGAGAGAGAGAGAGAGAGAGAGAGAUCGUGGUGUGGUUAGUGUUUAGGGUUUAGGGAUUAGUCGGUGACCUCUUCUGGUCGUCGUGGCGUCGGCAAACGAAGAAGGAAGGGUGGAACCUGCAGGAGGCGGGCGUGUUUUUGGGGGGAUCGAAGCGUUGCUUGCAUCGCCGACACAGCUUCUCCACCGCAGCAGCAGCAGCAACCACCACGCCCUCUACUGCUUCCGACAUCUUCUUUCUUUCUUCCUUCCUUUCUUUCUUUCUUUCUCUCGCUCUCCCUCGCCCUCCCCCACUCGCUCUCCCCCUCCCUCUCCGCCCCUUGUCUUCUCUGAUCCCCGAGCCACGCGUCGUCACGAGGCCCAUAUAUAUAGAUAAGGCCGGCUUCUUGGGCCGGCCCAUUGUGACGCGGGUGCGAGCGGAUCGGACGGUUCAGAAAGUUUAGGUCAGGCCCGCUCCCGGAUCAAACUAAACCGAAAACUCGCAGGGAUUGCGAUUGCGGAGUCAUGAGCUUUUGAAAAGAACUUCCUUGGUCGGGAUGGUAGGAAAAUUAUGUUACGUGCAGUUAAAAAAUGUGAUUAAAAAAUAUGAUGUUUAUUUUCGUACGUAAUAUUAUAUUCCGCAUAUCGCGAUUAGUUGGUUAAGAUAUAUUUUUUACGGAGAACGCAGAAGUAUAUUCCUAUAUUCUUUUACCCCAUCUUUAUUUUAUCUAAUAACAUUAAAUAACUUUGGACGUUUCCUAUAGAAAAUAGGAUUAGAGUAGGAACUGGUGACCUACCUAGAGUAUAUAGGACUAGAGGUUGAACUGGCUUUUUGGCAUUCAGUUUAUUCUUGUUUAAGUAUUUUAGUUUUAGGAACAAAGCAGUGGAACACCCAAAUAUCAUCUCAAGUAAAAUUAACUACCAGACAACAGAAAAUUACGGCAGGGACAUUAAGGACUUCACCUUCAUGAGCAGCAAUCUCAGACAGAUAAGUUGCAUUGUGCCUUGUGUUUUCACUCGGGUCAGUGAAUUCAAUGAUUAAGCCGUACUUUCCAAUCUGCAUGUCACAACAAAAAAUUUACUCAAAUAGAAACUUUUAUAACUAAAAAUUCUUAAACAACAUAUGGAACUAAAAUAAUGACAUAGAACACCUGAAAUAAAGAACAUAGAACAGACAAGUAAAGCAGAACCUGUUAAUUGACAAGAUAAUAAGUAAUUCUUAGUGCAUCUUUGUUGGAAGAAGAAUUUGAGGAACACUUGUAAUUAAAAUAGCAUAUUAUUCAGGGGUUGAUUAUGUAGAUCAUGACAUACUAAUAAUUCCGAUAUAUUUAAGGCCUAUUAGUUGGUAAAAGAUAUACUUUCUCAUUUGACAAUCAUUUAGUAGUUUGAUCCUCAGCUUGCCUCUUUGCUGUACCAGAUGGGGUGUUUAACUUGCCUCUCACAAAUAAAUUACUCAUACAAAGUUUCAUAUCUAUUCCUAAAAAGUUUGAACUAUAAAAUUUGUGUAAUCUUGAUUGUCAAAUACAUUUCUCCAACAUUUAAAAGUAUGCAAAAUUCUAUUCAUGCAGGUUGACUAUUGUAAGUUCACGCGCGGUAGAAAUAUACUUAAAAAUAAUUUUUAUUCAAGAGUAGGGCCAUUUUAAGAAAGAAAAAGUUAACUUUAACAUUCAACUAAUGGAGAGGAUGCAUUUCCAAACUAUGCACUAUGGAGAAACAUAUUUCAAGACUACAAUUUUGGAGUAAUUAUGUAUUCAACUACUUUACAGUUUACAGUGAUAAUAAUAUGCAUGAAAAAAAAUUUGAAAAAAGAAUAUCAUAUAAGUGAUUGUAAUAAUAAGUAGUAUAACUGGGAGAUUUUCCAAAUUUCCCUGUACGUAUUGCGGUAUUGGCAUGUGCAUGGGAACUUCAGCAUUGGCACCUCUUCUAUGAAAAGGUGAAUAAGCUGGUGUAUCUAUUAUUGCGUUCAACAAAACGCCCGUAUUGCCAUUUGCAGCUAUACAUGUAUGUAGUUCAAAAGGCACUUGAUUUGGAACUAGGUAGAAGAAAACACUUCUGGGUCUUUGGAUUCGUCUAGCACGAUUAGAGAGCAGGAGAGAGAGUUCACUUAUUGCAUUUCAUAAUUCAUAUAAGUGCACCACAUGGCUUCACUUACUACGGAUCAUUAUUAGUUAUCCAUAAUGUAACCUGUUUUCUAUAAUUAAUCAAAUUAUUUCUCGCAACGAUUUGUCCGUGCAUGGUUAUUUCUUGCGAACAUUUGGAAAGGAUCCUAUUUAAGGACCAUAUGCCUCUCCUCUUUGCAAGCACACCUUCUCUAUUGCGUUGCUACCAUGGAAAUUUUACACUCAAUCUUCUACUUGCUUAUUUCUUUUUCCUUCUUCCUAUCCAAUCCAACUCUUCUCUUGGUUCACUGCCAAAUAAAGCCCAUUUCAAAUGACACCCAAAUGCAGGUCUAUAUUGUUCAUGUACAAAAGCCUGACAGCACGAGCUUCCGUCGGUUCAAGGAUCGGAAAGAGUGGUACGCGUCCUUCUUGCCCAACACCACCCUCGACUCCGGCAAGCCGCGCAUGGUCUACGCGUACCGCCAAGCGAUCAGCGGCUUCGCAGCGUGGCUCACCUCUCAAGAAGUAGAAGCCAUGAAAUCUACGGAUGGCGUUCUCGUAGCCUACCCCGACAGCGAGUAUGAUGCUCAAACCACCUACACCCCGGAGUUCCUAGGACUAAACGCAUGGGAGGACGGCGUUUGGUACGACUCUCAAUACGGGGCGGGGCAAAUCAUCGGGGUUAUCGACACCGGAUUUAAGCCCGGUCAUCCUUCCUUCAGGGAUACUGAUGUAAAUCCGCCGCCAGAGACGUGGAACGGAAGCUGCUACUGGAAACAUUCCGUGUGCAACAACAAGCUCAUCGGUGCAGUGGGAUACAAGCAUGGGCGCACCGUCUCACCUGAAGACAAGAACGGUCAUGGAACCCACACAGCGAGCACAGCUGCGGGGAAUUUCGUGGAUGAUGCUCACGUACUCGGCAUGGCACGCGGCACGGCGUCAGGGACGGCACCUAAAGCUCAUCUAGCAAUCUAUAAGGUGCUACACAUCACCAAAACUGCGAGUACUGGUACGGUUGUCAAAGCGCUUGUUAGUGACACAUUGAGGGGCAUCGACGAAGCGAUCCGGAAUCACGUAAAUGUGCUAUCCAUGUCCCUCGGGUUGGAGAAGCAACGGCUGCAUGCGGACUCUAUUGCCAUAGGAUCAUACGCAGCAAUCACCAAAGGGAUCGUCCCGGUGGCCGCUGCCGCAAAUGCAGGCCCCUUCGCGAGUGUCAUAGCGAAUGAUGCGCCGUGGAUACUUACCGUCGGAGCAAGCACUACAGACAGGAGGAUAAGGGCCAUUGUCAAGCUCGGAAACGGUAUGGAGCUCUUCGGCGAAACAGCAUACCAGCCGGAGGGAUUCAACUCGACUCAGCUACCGUUGGUUUAUCCAGGGGUGCGAAAGACGCAAAAGACCUUGAAUUGCUUGAACGGCUCCAUGGACACUUUCGAUGUUAAAGGGAAAAUCGUGUUGUGCGGGGUUGGACAUAUUACAAACAUCGAAAAGGGUGAGAUCGUUAAGGCAGCAGGCGGUGCGGCGAUGAUACUAAUGAACCAGCCGUGGAAUGGGAACACGACGUUCUCCGAACCCCACGUCAUCCCGACGGCCCAUGUGAGCUUCAGCGAUGCGUGGAAGAUCAUCACGUACUUCAACUCCACGCCUAACGGAACAGCAGCAAUCACCUUCAACGGCACACAAUACGGCGUUCAACCAUCACCCUCGGUGGCUUACUUCUCGUCUCGCGGCCCUAGCCUCAUGAACGGCAACAUCAUCAAGCCGGACGUCAUCGCACCGGGCGUCAACAUUCUAGCCGCUUGGCCGUUCGAG